UGGGGGAGCCAUGAGAUAAGAGCA
RNAcentral lists this microRNA (24 nucleotides) under Homo sapiens (human). RNAcentral describes it as "hsa-miR-4723-5p". The record is from miRBase by way of RNAcentral. Lineage: Eukaryota; Metazoa; Chordata; Mammalia; Primates; Hominidae.